Molecule: long non-coding RNA, 368 nt
Organism: Microtus oregoni (creeping vole)
Lineage: Eukaryota; Metazoa; Chordata; Mammalia; Rodentia; Cricetidae
Exons: 3
Source: RefSeq, a predicted model, not a curated record
CUUUGAAAGUUUUCUAACCCAGCCUUGCAGCAGGAAGGAUGGAUGCGACUUCAUUGCCCUGAGGCACAGAUCACUCCCAUGAUGAAGUAAUCGAUUUCCCAUUGCAGGGCUGCAGGACUGGGCAGGACAGAAACCUUUGUCAACAAGUUGACAGAAGCAAUUUGAAGAAGAAAGGUUAUUCCCAGCUUGCACUUCCAGAGUGAGGAAGUUAAGGUGCAGGAGCUUGAGACAGCAGGUCACAAUGGAUCUGUAGUAAGGAAGCAGAGGAAGAAGAAUGUUGGUGGGCAACUCCCUUUCUCCUGAUUCUUCAGCCCAAGACUUCAGUGCAGGGAAUGACACCACCCACUUUUAGUGUGGGGGUGGCCAGG